This 2560-nucleotide ribosomal RNA is filed under the name Escherichia coli. RNAcentral describes it as "partial 23S ribosomal RNA". It matches the Rfam family "Bacterial large subunit ribosomal RNA", at positions 397 to 2925 of the family's 2925-position model. Lineage: Bacteria; Pseudomonadati; Pseudomonadota; Gammaproteobacteria; Enterobacterales; Enterobacteriaceae. The record is from RNAcentral.
CUGUGAGCUCGAUGAGUAGGGCGGGACACGUGGUAUCCUGUCUGAAUAUGGGGGGACCAUCCUCCAAGGCUAAAUACUCCUGACUGACCGAUAGUGAACCAGUACCGUGAGGGAAAGGCGAAAAGAACCCCGGCGAGGGGAGUGAAAAAGAACCUGAAACCGUGUACGUACAAGCAGUGGGAGCACGCUUAGGCGUGUGACUGCGUACCUUUUGUAUAAUGGGUCAGCGACUUAUAUUCUGUAGCAAGGUUAACCGAAUAGGGGAGCCGAAGGGAAACCGAGUCUUAACUGGGCGUUAAGUUGCAGGGUAUAGACCCGAAACCCGGUGAUCUAGCCAUGGGCAGGUUGAAGGUUGGGUAACACUAACUGGAGGACCGAACCGACUAAUGUUGAAAAAUUAGCGGAUGACUUGUGGCUGGGGGUGAAAGGCCAAUCAAACCGGGAGAUAGCUGGUUCUCCCCGAAAGCUAUUUAGGUAGCGCCUCGUGAAUUCAUCUCCGGGGGUAGAGCACUGUUUCGGCAAGGGGGUCAUCCCGACUUACCAACCCGAUGCAAACUGCGAAUACCGGAGAAUGUUAUCACGGGAGACACACGGCGGGUGCUAACGUCCGUCGUGAAGAGGGAAACAACCCAGACCGCCAGCUAAGGUCCCAAAGUCAUGGUUAAGUGGGAAACGAUGUGGGAAGGCCCAGACAGCCAGGAUGUUGGCUUAGAAGCAGCCAUCAUUUAAAGAAAGCGUAAUAGCUCACUGGUCGAGUCGGCCUGCGCGGAAGAUGUAACGGGGCUAAACCAUGCACCGAAGCUGCGGCAGCGACGCUUAUGCGUUGUUGGGUAGGGGAGCGUUCUGUAAGCCUGCGAAGGUGUGCUGUGAGGCAUGCUGGAGGUAUCAGAAGUGCGAAUGCUGACAUAAGUAACGAUAAAGCGGGUGAAAAGCCCGCUCGCCGGAAGACCAAGGGUUCCUGUCCAACGUUAAUCGGGGCAGGGUGAGUCGACCCCUAAGGCGAGGCCGAAAGGCGUAGUCGAUGGGAAACAGGUUAAUAUUCCUGUACUUGGUGUUACUGCGAAGGGGGGACGGAGAAGGCUAUGUUGGCCGGGCGACGGUUGUCCCGGUUUAAGCGUGUAGGCUGGUUUUCCAGGCAAAUCCGGAAAAUCAAGGCUGAGGCGUGAUGACGAGGCACUACGGUGCUGAAGCAACAAAUGCCCUGCUUCCAGGAAAAGCCUCUAAGCAUCAGGUAACAUCAAAUCGUACCCCAAACCGACACAGGUGGUCAGGUAGAGAAUACCAAGGCGCUUGAGAGAACUCGGGUGAAGGAACUAGGCAAAAUGGUGCCGUAACUUCGGGAGAAGGCACGCUGAUAUGUAGGUGAAGUCCCUCGCGGAUGGAGCUGAAAUCAGUCGAAGAUACCAGCUGGCUGCAACUGUUUAUUAAAAACACAGCACUGUGCAAACACGAAAGUGGACGUAUACGGUGUGACGCCUGCCCGGUGCCGGAAGGUUAAUUGAUGGGGUCAGCGCAAGCGAAGCUCUUGAUCGAAGCCCCGGUAAACGGCGGCCGUAACUAUAACGGUCCUAAGGUAGCGAAAUUCCUUGUCGGGUAAGUUCCGACCUGCACGAAUGGCGUAAUGAUGGCCAGGCUGUCUCCACCCGAGACUCAGUGAAAUUGAACUCGCUGUGAAGAUGCAGUGUACCCGCGGCAAGACGGAAAGACCCCGUGAACCUUUACUAUAGCUUGACACUGAACAUUGAGCCUUGAUGUGUAGGAUAGGUGGGAGGCUUUGAAGUGUGGACGCCAGUCUGCAUGGAGCCGACCUUGAAAUACCACCCUUUAAUGUUUGAUGUUCUAACGUUGACCCGUAAUCCGGGUUGCGGACAGUGUCUGGUGGGUAGUUUGACUGGGGCGGUCUCCUCCUAAAGAGUAACGGAGGAGCACGAAGGUUGGCUAAUCCUGGUCGGACAUCAGGAGGUUAGUGCAAUGGCAUAAGCCAGCUUGACUGCGAGCGUGACGGCGCGAGCAGGUGCGAAAGCAGGUCAUAGUGAUCCGGUGGUUCUGAAUGGAAGGGCCAUCGCUCAACGGAUAAAAGGUACUCCGGGGAUAACAGGCUGAUACCGCCCAAGAGUUCAUAUCGACGGCGGUGUUUGGCACCUCGAUGUCGGCUCAUCACAUCCUGGGGCUGAAGUAGGUCCCAAGGGUAUGGCUGUUCGCCAUUUAAAGUGGUACGCGAGCUGGGUUUAGAACGUCGUGAGACAGUUCGGUCCCUAUCUGCCGUGGGCGCUGGAGAACUGAGGGGGGCUGCUCCUAGUACGAGAGGACCGGAGUGGACGCAUCACUGGUGUUCGGGUUGUCAUGCCAAUGGCACUGCCCGGUAGCUAAAUGCGGAAGAGAUAAGUGCUGAAAGCAUCUAAGCACGAAACUUGCCCCGAGAUGAGUUCUCCCUGACUCCUUGAGAGUCCUGAAGGAACGUUGAAGACGACGACGUUGAUAGGCCGGGUGUGUAAGCGCAGCGAUGCGUUGAGCUAACCGGUACUAAUGAACCGUGAGGCUUAACCUUACAACGCCGAAG